UGCGCAGGCGAUUUGUUAAGUUAGUGGUUAAAGCCCAGAGCUUAACUCUGGGAAAGCUUCUAAAACUAAUAAACUAGAGAUUGGAAGAGGCAAGCGGAAUUGCCGGUGGAGGGGUAAAAUCCGUUGAUAUCGGCAAGAACACCUAAUGCAAAAGCAGCUUGCUAGAACAAUUCUGACGCUGGAGCACGAAAGCGUGGGGAGCAAAGAGGAUUAGAUACCCUCGUAGUCCACGCUGUAAACAAUGGACACUAGGCAUUGGAAUUUCGACCCUUCCAGUGUCGCUAUAUCUAAGCUAACGCGUUAAGUGUCCCGCCUGGGUAGUACGGCCGCAAGGCUAAA
RNAcentral lists this ribosomal RNA (339 nucleotides) under uncultured bacterium. RNAcentral's name for it is "bacterial SSU rRNA". It matches the Rfam family "Bacterial small subunit ribosomal RNA", at positions 568 to 898 of the family's 1533-position model. The record is from RNAcentral.